UACGAAGGGGGCUAGCGUUGUUCGGAUUUACUGGGCGUAAAGCGCACGUAGGCGGAUUGUUAAGUCAGGGGUGAAAUCCCAGAGCUCAACUCUGGAACUGCCUUUGAUACUGGCAAUCUCGAGUCCGGAAGAGGUAAGUGGAACUCCUAGUGUAGAGGUGGAAUUCGUAGAUAUUAGGAAGAACACCAGUGGCGAAGGCGGCUUACUGGUCCGGUACUGACGCUGAGGUGCGAAAGCGUGGGGAGCAAACAGG
RNAcentral lists this ribosomal RNA (253 nucleotides) under uncultured bacterium. RNAcentral describes it as "partial 16S ribosomal RNA". It matches the Rfam family "Bacterial small subunit ribosomal RNA", at positions 524 to 776 of the family's 1533-position model. The record is from RNAcentral.